Molecule: ribosomal RNA, 274 nt
Filed under: uncultured bacterium
Lineage: Bacteria
Description: partial 16S ribosomal RNA
Rfam family: Bacterial small subunit ribosomal RNA
Source: RNAcentral
AUACGGAGGGUGCAAGCGUUAUUCGGAAUCACUGGGCGUAAAGGACGCGUAGGCGGGUUGGCAAGUCAGAUGUGAAAUCCUACAGCUUAACUGUAGAACUGCAUUUGAAACUGCUAACCUAGAGUAUGGGAGGGGGAGAUGGAAUUAGUGGUGUAGGGGUAAAAUCCGUAGAUAUCACUAGGAAUACCGAAAGCGAAGGCGAUCUCCUGGAACAUAACUGACGCUAAGGCGUGAAAGCGUGGGGAGCAAACAGGAUUAGAAACCCGUGUAGUCC